AACGAACGCUGGCGGCAUGCCUAACACAUGCAAGUCGAACGAGAAACCGGAGCUUGCUCCGGCAGACAGUGGCGGACGGGUGAGUAACGCGUGGGGACCUGCCUUAGGGUACGGGACAACUCAUGGAAACGUGAGCUAAUACCGUAUACGUUCUUUCAUUUUAGUGAUGAAAGAAGAAAGAUUUAUUGCCCUUAGAUGGACCCGCGUUAGAUUAGCUAGUUGGUGAGGUAAUGGCUCACCAAGGCGACGAUCUAUAGCUGGUUUGAGAGGAUGAUCAGCCACACUGGGACGUGAGACACGGCCCAGACUCCUACGGGAAGGCAGCAGUGGGGAAUAUUGGACAAUGGGGGAAACCCUGAUCCAGCAAUGCCGCGUGAGUGAAGAAGGCCUUAGGGUUGUAAAACUCUUUCAGUGGGGAAGAUAAUGACGGUACCCACAGAAGAAGCUCCGCUAACU
This 456-nucleotide ribosomal RNA is filed under the name uncultured bacterium. RNAcentral describes it as "bacterial SSU rRNA". It matches the Rfam family "Bacterial small subunit ribosomal RNA", at positions 29 to 502 of the family's 1533-position model. The record is from RNAcentral.